RNAcentral lists this transfer RNA (71 nucleotides) under Loxodonta africana (African savanna elephant). It matches the Rfam family "tRNA". From Rfam's summary of the family: Transfer RNA (tRNA) molecules are approximately 80 nucleotides in length. Their secondary structure includes four short double-helical elements and three loops (D, anti-codon, and T loops). Further hydrogen bonds mediate the characteristic L-shaped molecular structure. tRNAs have two regions of fundamental functional importance: the anti-codon, which is responsible for specific mRNA codon recognition, and the 3' end, to which the tRNAs corresponding amino acid is attached (by aminoacyl-tRNA synthetases). tRNAs cope with the degeneracy of the genetic code in two manners: having more than one tRNA (with a specific anti-codon) for a particular amino acid; and 'wobble' base-pairing, i.e. permitting non-standard base-pairing at the 3rd anti-codon position. Lineage: Eukaryota; Metazoa; Chordata; Mammalia; Proboscidea; Elephantidae. The record is from Rfam by way of RNAcentral.
GAAUUGAUGGUUCAGUGGUAAAAUUCUUACUUUCUAUGUGGGAGACCCAGGUUUGAUUCCUGGCCAAUGCA